This 164-nucleotide ribosomal RNA is filed under the name uncultured bacterium. RNAcentral's name for it is "partial 16S ribosomal RNA". It matches the Rfam family "Bacterial small subunit ribosomal RNA", at positions 1336 to 1500 of the family's 1533-position model. The record is from RNAcentral.
UAGUAAUCGUAGGUCAGCAUACUACGGUGAANACGUUCCCGGGCCUUGUACACACCGCCCGUCAAACCAUGAGAGUUGGCAACACCGAAGUCGGUAGUCUAACCGCAAGGAGGACGCCGCCGAAGGUGGGGUUGAUGAUUAGGGUUAAGUCGUAACAAGGUAGC